This 253-nucleotide ribosomal RNA is filed under the name uncultured bacterium. Its description in RNAcentral is "partial 16S ribosomal RNA". It matches the Rfam family "Bacterial small subunit ribosomal RNA", at positions 524 to 776 of the family's 1533-position model. The record is from RNAcentral.
UACGUAGGUGGCAAGCGUUGUCCGGAUUUAUUGGGUUUAAAGGGUGCGUAGGCGGCGCCGUAAGUCAGUGGUGAAAUCCUCUAGCUCAACUAGAGAUGUGCCAUUGAUACUGCGGUGCUUGAGUGAAGUCGAGGUAGGCGGAAUUGACGGUGUAGCGGUGAAAUGCUUAGAUAUCGUCAAGAACACCGAUAGUGAAGACAGCUUACUAGACUUAUACUGACGCUGAGGCACGAAAGUGUGGGGAUCAAACAGG